RNAcentral lists this ribosomal RNA (440 nucleotides) under uncultured bacterium. RNAcentral's name for it is "partial 16S ribosomal RNA". It matches the Rfam family "Bacterial small subunit ribosomal RNA", at positions 338 to 795 of the family's 1533-position model. The record is from RNAcentral.
CCUACGGGUGGCAGCAGUGGGGGAUAUUGCACAAUGGGGGAAACCCUGAUGCAGCGACGCCGCGUGUGGGAAGACGGUCCUCUGGAUUGUAAACCACUGUCCCCAGGGACGAAGAUGACGGUACCUGGGGAGGAAGCUCUGGCUAACCACGUGCCAGCAGCCGCGGUAAUACGUAGGGAGGGAGCGUUGUCCGGAAUUACUGGGUGGAAGGGGAGCGUAGGCGGGGAUGCAAGUUGGGUGUCAAAACUACGGGCUCAACUGGUAGUCGCACUCAAAACUGGAGCACUUGAGUGAAGUAGAGGCAGGCGGAAUUCCUAGUGUAGCGGUGAAAUGCGUAGAUAUUAGGAGGAACACCAGAGGCGAAGGCGGCCUACUGGGCUUUUACUGACGCUGAGGCUCGAAAGUGUGGGGAGCAAACAGGAUUAGAUACCCGGGUAGUC